CAAGAAGUAGUUUAAUUAGAAUAUCAGCUUUGGGUGUUGAUGGUGAGGGGAUUUUCCUUCUUCUUGA
This 67-nucleotide transfer RNA is filed under the name Rattus tunneyi (Tunney's rat). Its description in RNAcentral is "tRNA-Pro". Lineage: Eukaryota; Metazoa; Chordata; Mammalia; Rodentia; Muridae. The record is from RNAcentral.